This 497-nucleotide ribosomal RNA is filed under the name uncultured bacterium. RNAcentral describes it as "partial 16S ribosomal RNA". It matches the Rfam family "Bacterial small subunit ribosomal RNA", at positions 28 to 507 of the family's 1533-position model. The record is from RNAcentral.
GAUGAACGCUGGCGGCGUGCCUAAUACAUGCAAGUCGAGCGAACAGACGAGGAGCUUGCUCCUCUGACGUUAGCGGCGGACGGGUGAGUAACACGUGGAUAACCUACCUAUAAGACUGGGAUAACUUCGGGAAACCGGAGCUAAUACCGGAUAAUAUCUUGACCCGCAGGGUUAAUUGGUGAAAGACGGUUUUGCUGUCCCUUAUAGAUGGUUCCGCGCCGCAUUAGCUAGUUGGUAAGGUAACGGCUUACCAAGGCAACGAUGCGUAGCCGACCUGAGAGGGUGAUCGGCCACACUGGAACUGAGACACGGUCCAGACUCCUACGGGAGGCAGCAGUAGGGAAUCUUCCGCAAUGGGCGAAAGCCUGACGGAGCAACGCCGCGUGAGUGAUGAAGGUCUUCGGAUCGUAAAACUCUGUUAUUAGGGAAGAACAAAUGUGUAAGUAACUAUGCACGUCUUGACGGUACCUAAUCAGAAAGCCACGGCUAACUACGUG